RNAcentral lists this ribosomal RNA (394 nucleotides) under uncultured bacterium. RNAcentral describes it as "partial 16S ribosomal RNA". It matches the Rfam family "Bacterial small subunit ribosomal RNA", at positions 523 to 918 of the family's 1533-position model. The record is from RNAcentral.
AUACGUAGGGUGCUAGCGUUAUCCGGAUUUACUGGGCGUAAAGGGUGCGUAGGUGGUCUUUCAAGUCGGUGGUUAAAGGCUACGGCUCAACCGUAUUAAGCCGCCGAAACUGGAAGACUUGAGUGCAGGAGAGGAAAGUGGAAUUCUCAGUGUAGCGGUGAAAUGCGUAGAUAUUGAGAAGAACACCAGUAGCAAAGGCGGCUUUCUGGACUGUAACUGACACUGAGGCACGAAAGCGUGGGUAGCAAACAGGAUUAGAUACCCUGGUAGUCCACGCCGUAAACGAUGAGUAUUAGGUGUCGGGGGUUACCCCCCUCGGUGCCGCAGUUAACGCAUUAAAUACUCCGCCUGGGGAGUACGCACGCAAGUGUGAAACUCAAAGGAAUUGACGGGG